UGUGGUCUUAAAGAUAUGUUUAUUUCUUUAUAAUACAAUACAGUAUGUCAUUCACAGACAAAAAAAUUCACUUAAUAAUCACAAUCUUAUGAUUUACUAAUAGUAAAAUAGGGAAAGUAAAUAAUAAAAGUUGAUUUAUAGUCAUUUCUUUUAACACAGUUGUAGCGGAAACAAUAUGCGUCUCUGAAACCUGCACGGUACAAAACUUAUAACAUGUUAGCUAACGUGGGCAAUCGGGUAAUCUGGAUCGGAAAUAGAGCACAUUUACCACAGUUUUAAAGGUUAGCCAGUCUCAUAUAGGAUACAUGUAUAACCGCACGGGUUCAAACCUCUCAAGUGCUUCAUAUAUGAGGGUUCCCAUCAUGAGGAACAUUUUAUGGAUUUUGUUUCAAUUAAUUUUUAACUUUGAUUAAAUUUGAUCAGUUAAGCAGAUCAUAAACGUACUUUAUCACUAGAAAAUAACCUUUCAAACAUGAAAGUACUAUGCAAUCAAAACAUUUCUCCUUAUAUAGAACCUUUUUUAGCAUAAAUGAUUAUUUAAAAUUGAAUCAAGAACACGAGAGUUCUAAAUAGAACCCCUUUGAACCCUUUAUUCUAAGAGUGUGUGCAUGCAAAAAACCAUUCAGGCUUUUACAUACAUGCUAAUGAAACAUAUCUGAUACUAAAACAUACUUACAUCGUGAACUUUAUGUUGAAAAGCCAUUUGAAAUUAGCAGUAGGAAUCAUAUAACCCUAUAAUUAAGUUGCAUAAUUCCCACUGUCCACUGAGAAAACUCACUUCGCAGAAACUUAUCAGGGCAGGAAGGCAAUAGUUCUGCUCCAAAGAAAUGUCUCAUCCCAAACUAUCCGUGAACUCCAAGAGGCUCGUAAAGGGUGGGGUAUUUUCUUUAGCCACACACACACACACACACACACACACACACACACAAUGACAGUCUCCCUGUUCCUCCCCUCUUUUGUUUCUCCUGUUAAAUGUUCCAGCCACAGCAAACUCAUGUCCAUUUAUUCACUUAACAGCUUAACUCAGUCUAUGUAGUUGCUAUUCUUUAUUUGUCUUGCACUAUGUUAUAUCUCUCCGGACUACUUUUGCUGUUGCUGGAUCCAUCUCUGAUCUGUGGUCAAAUGACACAAGAUAACAGAACAGCUGUUGAAGAUGAGAGUCUCAGAGUCAAAACUGAAAAUGCACAGAAAGAACUGAAUGAAUCUUUGAACGAGCAUACCAACAACGGCACGUACAAGAACAAUGUCACAGAAAGCAACGAGAUUCUUCAGCAACAAGAUUUUCACCACCACUACAGUCACUGUUAUGAGGAGGAUUUGAUGUCUUAUGGCGAACUGUGCUGUGAUAUUUUCAGUAGCAAC
Molecule: long non-coding RNA, 1362 nt
Organism: Ctenopharyngodon idella (grass carp)
Lineage: Eukaryota; Metazoa; Chordata; Actinopteri; Cypriniformes; Xenocyprididae
Exons: 5
Source: RefSeq, a predicted model, not a curated record